UCUAAAUGUCUUUACUGUCACUUUUGAUCAAUUUAAUGUAUCCUUGAUGAAUAAAAGUUUCGAUUUAUUUUUUUUUUAAAAAGCUUACUGACUCCAAAAUUCUGAUUUUUUUUCUAGAAUAUGUGUCAAAGCCUGAAUUCUCCUUUGAUGUUGUGAAGCUUGAUGAUGGAGGUUAUAAAGCCAUCAUCACGUGUCAGUCUAAGAAAGGAACGCCGCUCAACACCUUUAGCCUGUUGAACCACACUGACCUCAUCGCCACCGAAACGACUGACACAACCAGUGCGAUCUUUAACAUGCCCAUCGAGCUGAACCGUUACAUGGGACAAAUGAAAUGUAACGCCAGCAACGAGGGCAACUGGGUUCUGAGUGACCCGUACAGCUUGACCGUGGGCCGAGACAGCGCUGGAUUCUACCACUGCCAAGCUUCAGACAGAUUCGACAACAGCACCAGCAUCCGCAGCCCAAAGAUGCUGAUCAGUAAAGAGGGUACAGAAGCCUGACACCAAACACUACACUGAAUCACUUUAGAAAGGGGAUUUUUUUAAAAGGAAGAAUUAAUAUAUGAUCAAAUAGUCAAAUAGCUGCUGCUCUCCCUGUUAUGAAGAGUCUGGGCUAAUUUAUAUGCAUUCAAUCAUAUGAUGUUUCUAAAUAUUAG
This 655-nucleotide long non-coding RNA is filed under the name Sinocyclocheilus grahami. Its description in RNAcentral is "lncRNA (ENSSGRG00000006938.1)". Lineage: Eukaryota; Metazoa; Chordata; Actinopteri; Cypriniformes; Cyprinidae. The record is from RNAcentral.